RNAcentral lists this ribosomal RNA (481 nucleotides) under uncultured bacterium. Its description in RNAcentral is "bacterial SSU rRNA". It matches the Rfam family "Bacterial small subunit ribosomal RNA", at positions 501 to 985 of the family's 1533-position model. The record is from RNAcentral.
CUACGUGCCAGCAGCCGCGGUAAUACGGAAGGUCCAGGCGUUAUCCGGAUUUAUUGGGUUUAAAGGGAGCGUAGGCGGAUUGUUAAGUCAGCGGUUAAAGGGUGUGGCUCAACCAUGCAUUGCCGUUGAAACUGGCGAUCUUGAGUGCAGACAGGGAUGCCGGAAUUCGUGGUGUAGCGGUGAAAUGCUUAGAUAUCACGAAGAACUCCGAUCGCGAAGGCAGGUGUCCGGGCUGCAACUGACGCUGAGGCUCGAAAGUGUGGGUAUCAAACAGGAUUAGAUACCCUGGUAGUCCACACAGUAAACGAUGUAUACUCGCGGUUUGCGAUAGACAGUAAGCCGCCAAGCGAAAGCAUUAAGUAUACCACCUGGGGAGUACGCCGGCAACGGUGAAACUCAAAGGAAUUGACGGGGGCCCGCACAAGCGGAGGAACAUGUGGUUUAAUUCGAUGAUACGCGAGGAACCUUACCCGGGCUUGAA